GCGCGGCGAAAAACCUUACACACAGUGUUUUUUGUUAUUACAAGAACUUUUGCUUUGGUCUGGACUAGAAAUAGUUUGGGCCAGAGGUUUACUGAACUAAACUUCAAUAUUUAUAUUGAAUUGUUAUUUAUUUAUUUGUCAAUUUGUUGAUUAAAUUCAAAAAAUCUUCAAAACUUUCAACAACGGAUCUCUUGGUUCUCGCAUCGAUGAAGAACGCAGCGAAAUGCGAUAAGUAAUAUGAAUUGCAGAUUUUCGUGAAUCAUCGAAUCUUUGAACGCACAUUGCGCCCUCUGGUAUUCCAGAGGGCAUGCCUGUUUGAGCGUCAUUUCUCUCUCAAACCUUCGGGUUUGGUAUUGAGUGAUACUCUUAGUCGAACUAGGCGUUUGCUUGAAAUGUAUUGGCAUGAGUGGUACUGGAUAGUGCUAUAUGACUUUCAAUGUAUUAGGUUUAUCCAACUCGUUGAAUAGUUUAAUGGUAUAUUUCUCGGUAUUCUAGGCUCGGCCUUACAAUAUAACAAACAAGUUUGACCUCAAAUCAGGUAGGAUUACCCGCUGAACUUAAGCAUAUAA
This 569-nucleotide ribosomal RNA is filed under the name Debaryomyces sp. Z9Y20. Its description in RNAcentral is "eukaryotic LSU rRNA". The stretch from base 172 to 325 matches the Rfam family "5.8S ribosomal RNA". Lineage: Eukaryota; Fungi; Ascomycota; Pichiomycetes; Serinales; Debaryomycetaceae. The record is from RNAcentral.